CACGUAGGGGGCAAGCGUUGUCCGGAUUUAUUGGGCGUAAAGAGCUCGUAGGCGGUUCGAUAAGUCGGGUGUGAAACCUCCAGGCUCAACCUGGAGACGCCACCCGAUACUGUCGUGACUAGAGUCCAGUAGGGGAGCGUGGAAUUCCUGGUGUAGCGGUGAAAUGCGCAGAUAUCAGGAGGAACACCAGUGGCGAAGGCGGCGCUCUGGGCUGGAACUGACGCUGAGGAGCGAAAGCGUGGGGAGCGAACAGG
Molecule: ribosomal RNA, 254 nt
Filed under: uncultured bacterium
Lineage: Bacteria
Also listed under: 1 other name
Description: partial 16S ribosomal RNA
Rfam family: Bacterial small subunit ribosomal RNA
Source: RNAcentral